This is an RNA transcript of Mandrillus leucophaeus (drill), 1018 nucleotides long. RefSeq lists it as uncharacterized. Lineage: Eukaryota; Metazoa; Chordata; Mammalia; Primates; Cercopithecidae. The transcript has a single exon. The record is from RefSeq and is a predicted model, not a curated record.
UUUAGCUUGGUUGCCUGGCUAGCUCCAAAACUGGUAUACAGGGACUUGGGACAACAUUCUGAAUGGAAGCCCGAAGGAAUUCAAAGUUAUGCUUACAUAGGAGGAGAUGGCGUGCAAUUGCCCAGAGAAAUCCUUGCAGCUUCAACAGCCCUUCCCAAGAAGCCACCCCUUAGAACAGUUACCAAAAAUACGUAAAAUAUUUCCAGCUAUGAAGAAUUCUUUUAGGCGGCGCCGUGACGCGCCUCGGGAACGGUCCUCGGGCGCGCACCGCUCUCUAACCCUCGGGCCUCAGAAGUCGGUGCCAGUGACUGGAGGCGGCGGCGGCGGCGAGCGGGUCCUUGUGGGCUACAAGAAUCCAGCAAAAAUGUCCCUCUAUCCGUCUCUUGAAGACUUGAAGGUAGACAAUGUAAUUCAGGCUCAAACUGCUUUUUCUGCAAACCCUGCCAACCCAGCAAUUUUGUCAGAAGCUGCUGUUCCUAUCUCUCAAGAUGGAAAUCUCUAUCCCAAACUAUAUCCUGAGCUCUCUCAAUACAUGGAUGGGUCUGACUUGAAAUGAAGAAGAAAUACGUGCAAAUGUGGCCGUGGUUUCUGGUGCAUCAAUUCAGAGGCAGUUGGUAGCAAGACCUUCCGGUAUGAUGUGUAUGGUGGUUCCUGUAACUGAUAAUGAUGCUGGAAUUCGGAGAGCAGAAAUUAAGCAAGGGAUUCGCGAAGUCAUUCUGUGUAAGGAUCAAGAUGGAAAAAUUGGACUCCGGCUCAGAUCAAUAGAUAAUGAUAUAUUUGUUCAGCUAAUCCAGGCUAAUUCUCCAGCCUCAUUGGUUGGUCUGAGAUUUGGGGACCAAGUAUUCCAGAUCAGUGGUGAAAACUGCAGGGUGGAGCUCUAAUAAAGCACACAAGGUGCUCAAACAGGCUUUUGGAGAGAAGAUUACCACGACAUGACAAUUCGUGACAGACCCUUUGAACGGAAGAUUACCAUGCAUAAGGAUAGCACUGGACAUGUUGGUUUUACCUUAAAAACGGA